This 1638-nucleotide long non-coding RNA is filed under the name Citrus sinensis (sweet orange). RNAcentral's name for it is "long non-coding RNA (CSIN_LNC001189)". The record is from RNAcentral. Lineage: Eukaryota; Viridiplantae; Streptophyta; Magnoliopsida; Sapindales; Rutaceae.
UACAAAUAUAAAUAUAAUGAAAUGUGCACACGAUGAUACAAAUAUUUCUAAUUUGAUUGAUUAAUUAAAUUAAAAGUUACCAUAGCGUGCAGGAUUGGCUGUAAUAUCUUGGAAAAUCCCAUAAGCAUUGAUGUAGAUAAACUUGGCAUCAGAAUUGUUGUUGUUGAAUUGAUCCACGAGGCCUCUGAGCUUGUUAUUGAAUAUUACGUUUGCGUCAUUCACUCUCUUCACACAAGUUCUCCCAUCUGGACUGUUUUGAGCCAAUUGAUUUGGGCUGCACCCUAUCUGUCCCACUCCAAUCAACACAAAUUUCCUUGCCCCAUAGUUGUAAAACGCCUAUAUUAUACACAUAUUCAUUCACGAUUCAUCAGUACUUAAUUAUUUGAGAAUUCAUAAUGGAAAAAAAAGGGGUCUGAGCGACUCAGGUACCUGAAGUUGCUGAGUGUACUGUUGAAUAAGAAGGUCUGCAUACUGCUCGGGGGUGUAUUGACGACCGGUUGAAUAAUAGAGGGGCUGGAAGUAGUUGUUGAGGUAGUCGUUGCUGCCUAAUCCGAUUGAGUAUAUGCAUCGGCUCAGGUAAUUUGCAGCUUGAUCUUCAUUUCCUAGUAAGUUCACUACUUGCUGAACCGUGUUUUGGUAAUUCUUUACCUGCCCACUAAAACUGAUUCGAUCUCCCUGAAAUUUAAUAAUGCAUGUGCAUGUAUGUAUAACAUUAGUUAAUUCAGGAUUCACUUCAUCAGUUGAUGCAUGUCACAUGUUAUUACUAAAACCUGUAUGUACAAAUAUAAAUAUAAUGAAAUGUGCACAUGAUGAUACAAAUAUUUCUAAUUUGAUUAAUUAAUUAAAUUAAAGUUACCAUAGCGUGCGGGAUUGGCUGUAAUAUCUUGGAAAAUCCCAUAAGCAUUGAUGUAGAUAAACUUGGCAUCAGAAUUGUUGUUGUUGAAUUGAUCCACGAGGCCUCUGAGCUUGUUAUUGAAUAUUACGUUUGCGUCAUUCACUCUCUUCACACAAGUUCUCCCAUCUGGACUGUUUUGAGCCAAUUGAUUUGGGCUGCACCCUAUCUGUCCCACUCCAAUCAACACAAAUUUCCUUGCCCCAUAGUUGUAAAACGCCUAUAUUAUACACAUAUUCAUUCACGAUUCAUCAGUACUUAAUUAUUUGAGAAUUCAUAAUGGAAAAAAAAGGGGUCUGAGCGACUCAGGUACCUGAAGUUGCUGAGUGUACUGUUGAAUAAGAAGGUCUGCAUACUGCUCGGGGGUGUAUUGACGACCGGUUGAAUAAUAGAGGGGCUGGAAGUAGUUGUUGAGGUAGUCGUUGCUGCCUAAUCCGAUUGAGUAUAUGCAUCGGCUCAGGUAAUUUGCAGCUUGAUCUUCAUUUCCUAGUAAGUUCACUACUUGCUGAACCGUGUUUUGGUAAUUCUUUACCUGCCCACUAAAACUGAUUCGAUCUCCCUGAAAUUUAAUAAUGCAUGUGCAUGUAUGUAUAACAUUAGUUAAUUCAGGAUUCACUUCAUCAGUUGAUGCAUGUCACAUGUUAUUAUUAAUUAUUUGUUGAUAUGAAAUGGACAUUAUUAAAGUUCAUAUAUGCAUGCAUGCAUUAAAUAAAUAAAUUAACUAAUUAAUGGGAUUGAUUAUUUUC